AUGGGAGACAUGAAUGACAUCUUGUAUGAUAUGGACAAAACUACUACCUUUGUUAAUACUACUCAAAUGUAUGCUUUUCGAAAUCUAGUCAAGUCUUGUGGUUUGAUAGAUCUUGGAUAUAGUGGUCCUUCUUACACCUAGACGAAUAAACAUUUUUCCACAAAUCCUACUUAUGAAAGGCUUGAUAGAUGUUUGGUUAACACUGAGUGGUGUGCUAUCUAUCUGAAUACAAAUGUCUAUAAUCUGCCUAUUACGUACCUUAAGUGA
RNAcentral lists this ribosomal RNA (267 nucleotides) under Triticum aestivum (bread wheat). RNAcentral's name for it is "partial small subunit ribosomal RNA". The record is from RNAcentral. Lineage: Eukaryota; Viridiplantae; Streptophyta; Magnoliopsida; Poales; Poaceae.